CCUCCACUUCAUCCUUCAUUCCUCCUUCCACCACGGCGGAGACUUCUGCUCGAGAAAAAGCUGAGCCCAACACCAAUCUCUUUGUCUCUGGACUUAGCAAACGAACUACUACAGAGGGACUAAGGGAAGCAUUUUCCAAGUUUGGUGAACUGGUUCAUGCCAGAGUGGUGACUGAUAGGGUGUCAGGAUAUUCUAAGGGGUUUGGUUUUGUCAG
This 214-nucleotide unclassified non-coding RNA is filed under the name Hevea brasiliensis (rubber tree). The record is from RNAcentral. Lineage: Eukaryota; Viridiplantae; Streptophyta; Magnoliopsida; Malpighiales; Euphorbiaceae.